This is a non-coding RNA of Triticum urartu, 1759 nucleotides long. Lineage: Eukaryota; Viridiplantae; Streptophyta; Magnoliopsida; Poales; Poaceae. The record is from RefSeq and is a predicted model, not a curated record.
UGAGUCCAGUGACACAUAACAUUCAAUUAUGAGGAUUCAGGAAAUUAUGAUUAUUCAGUCAUUGAGGAUAUGAAAAGAGGCAUAAGGCAACAUGUUCUAUCAAAAAGUUUCGUUUGCAAAGUAGAUAAGCUUUAUUUUGAGUCUCCACCAAUUUAUUGUUCUCCUUGUGUUGCUCGGACAAAACGAAGUGCAUCAUACUAUACUGCUGCUGCUACUGAGAUUUGCCACAAUUUAUGUAUCCUGUGUUAGAAUGAGGCUCGCAGUUGCACGAUUCAGGUGGAAAGGUGGGUUAUGUGUGACAAAUGUGAACGCUGGAAGCAUCAAAUUUGUGCCCUUUUUAAUUUCAAAAGGGCCGAUUAUAAAGAAGCAAAAUGUACUUGCCCUUAAGUGUUGUUCUUGGGGCUAAAGAUUUGCCAAGGGCCGUGCUUAGCAAUCAUAUACAAGAACAACUCUUUAAACCGUUCAGGGAAGAGAGACACGAACAUGCCGUUCAUCAUGGGAAAAGCUUUGAUGAGAGAUGACGAGAUCCACUUUCUUUUGAAAAGGAGAAGGGAGGACAGAGAGAAUCAAAUCAAAGGAAUGUAACCAUCAACUUAUUACAUUUUUUCUUUAAGAACUAACAUUGUUGCUGGAACACACAAAACCUAUAUCGUUUUAGUAGAACAUCCAUUCUUAUUGUCAGCCUCUCACCUGCAGCAGUACAUACAAAUAAAUUCCUACCAGUAGGCAAAAACCAUGUGAAGCCCCUAAUCCUUCGCUGAUAUUUUUCCUAGGCAACUUCACAUGGAACUAGGAUCAGUUAAUAAGUUUCUGGUAUAUUUUCAAAUUUUCUUGCUUGAUGCAUGAACAUAUCAUCAAGAUUUCAAUCUCUUAUAUGUGCUUUUGCUGCUGUAGAUUUGUUGGUGUUGAUUUGCAGUAAGAGGAGAUGUACUAUUGUUCUCAUCAAUUUCUUUCAUACCAUGUGUAUGGUUAGUUCUUAAUAUUCUUCAUUAUUCAAAAUACCUGAACCCACUAGGAUUCAUUUAUUAUUAUUUACCUCCAAGCACUAUAUAUUACUGUUGUUUAUUGUCCACCUUGAUCCUUUGCUGAUGUUUUUCCUAGGAAACUUCACAUGGAGUUAGGAUCGCUUAAUAAGAUUCUGGUAUAUUCUGCAAAUUUUCUUGCUUUAUGCAUGAACCUAUCAUCAAUAUUUGGAUCUCUUAUAUGUGCAUGUGCUGUUGUAUAUUGGUCGGUGUUGAUUUGCAGUAAGAGGAAAUGUACUAUUGUUCUCAUCAAUUUUCUUUCAUACCAUGUUAUAGAAAUAUGUUGUUUAAAUAUGAAGAGGCGGAUAAGUUUCUGGCAUUAAUUACUGACUAUCCAGAUCCGGCUUGCUUCUCAGCCAUGGCCUACAUUUAGAAGAAAUAUGUUGUUGAAAUAUGAAGAGGUGGAUAAGUUUCUGGCUUUAGUUACUGAAUAUAUCCGGAUCCGGCUUGCUUCUCAGCCAUGGCCUACAUUUAGAAGAUAUAUGUUGUUGAAAUAUGAAGAGGUGGAUAAGUUUCUGGCUUUAGUUACUGAAUAUCCGGUUCCGGCUUGCUUCUCAACCAUGGCCUACAUUUAGAGAAGACAUGUUCAUUGUAAGAGAUUUUAGGUCAAUGAUCUCCCCCUGUUGUAAUGCUGAUCAUCUUAAUUCCGACAUUGCUAUAUGUUUGCACCAUGGUUCAUGACUGUACUUUUUUCACACGUCUUUACAAAGUUUGUCAGUAUUAUUAUGCAGAGAUAA